RNAcentral lists this transfer RNA (59 nucleotides) under Haemaphysalis cornigera. Its description in RNAcentral is "tRNA-Ser". Lineage: Eukaryota; Metazoa; Arthropoda; Arachnida; Ixodida; Ixodidae. The record is from RNAcentral.
AAAGAUUAAUAAGUUUAGGCUUCUAACCUAAAAUUAAUGAAAUUUUCAUUUAAUCUUUA